GUUUCUACUUCCUAUUGGAACACUUCUAUUUGAGAAGGAGGUGUGGCCUCUGUGUGUCAGUCCAAGUGAAGGAGGUGUGGCCUCUGUGUUUCAGCUCCUCGAAGGCAGUGUGGCCUCUGUGUGUCAGUCCCAGUAAAGGAGGUGUGGCCUCUAUGUUUCAGUCCCAGUGAAGGAGGUGCGGCCUUUAUGUUUCAGUCCCAGUGAAGGAGGUGUGGCCUCUGUGUUUCAGUCCCAGUGAAGGAGGUGUGGCCUCUAUGUUUCAGUCCCAGUGAAGGAGGUGUGGCCUCUGUGUUUCAGUCCCAGUGAAGGAGGUGUGGCCUCUGUGUGUCAGUCCCAGUGAAGGAGGUGUGGCCUCUAUGUUUCAGUCCCAGUGAAGGAGGCGUGGCCUCUAUGUUUCAGUCCCUGUGAAGGAAUAAAUCACAUUAUAUCACGUUGAAUAAGCUUUAAAUUGUAUCAUACUGAAAUAUUGGCUGCUUUAAAUGAAUUUUUCACGUCAGAUACUCGAGCACAUAUUGUGAAUUCUUGGAGGACGUGACACACACCUGGACCACUGUCACCUGUAGGCAGAAUACGAGGUACCUGC
Long non-coding RNA from Ictalurus punctatus (channel catfish), 583 nucleotides. The record is from Ensembl. Lineage: Eukaryota; Metazoa; Chordata; Actinopteri; Siluriformes; Ictaluridae.